GAUGAACGCUGGCGGCGUGCCUAAUACAUGCAAGUCGAGCGAACGGACGAGAAGCUUGCUUCUCUGAUGUUAGCGGCGGACGGGUGAGUAACACGUGGAUAACCUACCUAUAAGACUGGGAUAACUUCGGGAAACCGGAGCUAAUACCGGAUAAUAUUUUGAACCGCAUGGUUCAAAAGUGAAAGACGGUCUUUCUGUCACUUAUAGAUGGAUCCGCGCUGCAUUAGCUAGUUGGUAAGGUAACGGCUUACCAAGGCAACGAUGCAUAGCCGACCUGAGAGGGUGAUCGGCCACACUGGAACUGAGACACGGUCCAGACUCCUACGGGAGGCAGCAGUAGGGAAUCUGCCGCAAUGGGCGAAAGCCUGACGGAGCAACGCCGCGUGAGUGAUGAAGGUCUGCGGAUCGUAAAACUCUGUUAUUAGGGAAGAACAUAUGUGUAAGUAACUGUGCACAUCUUGACGGUACCUAAUCAGAAAGCCACGGCUAACUACGG
This 496-nucleotide ribosomal RNA is filed under the name uncultured bacterium. RNAcentral's name for it is "partial 16S ribosomal RNA". It matches the Rfam family "Bacterial small subunit ribosomal RNA", at positions 28 to 506 of the family's 1533-position model. The record is from RNAcentral.